RNAcentral lists this ribosomal RNA (3137 nucleotides) under Candidatus Parcubacteria bacterium. Its description in RNAcentral is "23S ribosomal RNA". It matches the Rfam family "Bacterial large subunit ribosomal RNA". The record is from RNAcentral. Lineage: Bacteria; Candidatus Parcubacteria.
GGUUAAUUUAUGGGCAAAUGGUGGAUGCCUUGGGAGUGGAAGGCGAUGAAGGACGUGGCGUGACUGCGAUAAGCCUCGGGGAGGUGUCUAGCAACCUUUGAUCCGGGGAUUUCCGAAUCCGGUAACGGGGUGGAGAAAAACUCCAUCAUCUCAGCGCCAGCUGAGAGGCGAGACCCGGGGAAGUGAAACAUCUCAGUACCCGGAGGAAAAGAAAAAAAGCUGCGCAAAUUUUUUUGAGAUUUUGAGAUGUUUUGUCUCAAAGUUUCAGCAAUUUUGCGGAGUACAUUCCUUUAGUAGCGGCGAGCGAAAAAGGAAGAGCCUAAACCUUGCUGUUUUUACAGCAGGGGGUAGAUGGACGACAACGGGACUUUAGUCCGGGAAGUAAAAAAAAUCGUUAGAUAGCCGAACAUCUCUGGAAGGGGUGACCAAAGAGGGUGAUAGUCCCUUAGGCGAAAUCUAAUGAUUCUUCCUGGUUGUCUGCCUGUUAAAUGCUGUUUGGGGCAUUUUGCUCAAGACAGCUGUUUAACAGGGGUAAUCCUAAGUACCUCAAGAAAUGGCAGCCUUGAGGGAAGCAGGCUGAACUGUCAGCCAAGGCUAAAUACUAACCACUCACCGAUAGCGAACUAGUACCGUGAGGGAAAGGUGAAAAGCAGGGGGGUGACCCCGGUGAAAUAGUACCUGAAACCAUUUGCUUACAAAGAGUCAGAGCUCACCGCACAUCACUGCGUUUCGGGCGAUAUUCGGAUUUGGAUUUCGAAGUUUGAUGGCAAAAUCAUUUAACUUCUAAAUUCCAACUCUAACAUUUAGCGCGCGGAGCACAGCGAUGUGCGGUGAGUGAUGGCGUACUUUUUGCAGAACGGACCAACGAGUCCGCGUAUUCGGCUUGUUUAAGGGGUUAUGCCCCGAAGACAAAGCGAAAGCGAGUGUGAAAGCGCGUUAACUCCACUCAGUGGGGGGUCGUUUACGCGGGACCCGAAGCCAAGCGAGCUUGCCGUGACCAGGGUGAAUCCCGCCGAAAGGCGAGAGGAGGCCCGAACCCGUGAGCCGUGCAAUACUCUGGGACGAGUUGCGGUAAGAAGUGAAAAGCUAAACGAGCUUGGUAAUAGCUGGUUCUCUCCGAAAUAGCUCUAGGGCUAGCCUUCCGUGAAAAAAUUCUUUUGGGGGUAGAGCACUAAAUGGAAUGUCUUGGAUUUUCCGGACAUUCCAAUUAAACUCCGAAUACCAAAAGAAUCAGCGGGAGAGUAAGACUGUGGGGGAUAAGCUCCAUAGUCAAAAGGGGAACAGCCCAGACCACCAUCUAAGGUCCCUAAAUUUGGACUAAGUGUAGUAAGGAAGUGUUUUGGCUUUGACAGGCAGGAAGUUAGCUUAGAGGUAGCUAUCUUUUAAAGAGUGUGUAAUAACUCACUGCCCUACUUUGCCAGAGCGCACCGAAGAUUUAGGGGGCUCAAGUCCAAUACCGAAGAUGUGGAUUGCCGCUUAACGGCGGCAGUGGUAGGAGAGCGUCUCUAUUGCGCUGAAGUUUCGAUGCAAAUCGGAAUGGAGCAAUAGGGAGUGAGAAUGUUGGUAUGAGUAACCACAAUCCCGAUGAAAGUUCGGGACGCCGAAAGCCUAAGGUUUCCUUGGCAAUGACAAUCAGCCAAGGGUGAGGCGGCCCUAAUCUUUAACCCGAAAGGGUUAAGGAGAUGGACAGCCGGUUAAUAUUCCGGCCCUCCUUUAUUCCUAUUCUAAAAAACGACGAAGUUUAGUAGUCCGGGCAGGUUAUUGGAUUCCUGUCUCUCGCUUGAGCGCAAGCAAGGGCGGGAGGGAAGUCGGGUUUCGGCCCGGCGAACUCGGAUAAGCAAGCUUCCGGGAAAAGUUUUUUAGAAAUUAAUGGGUAAAGGAUCCGUACCGAAAACCGACACAGGUGGGCGGGCAUAAGUGUGCUCAGGCGAACGGGCGAAAACUGGUUAAGGAACUAGGCAAAAAAGUGUUCGUAAGUUCGCGAGAAGAACUCCCUUUCUUCAGGAAAGGGUGCAACAAACGAUCUCUUGGCGACUGUUUACCAAACACACAGGUCCCUGCUUAACUCGUAAGAGGAUGUAUAGGGGCUGAGGCCUGACCAGUGCUGGAGUGUCAAAGUUGGCGGUUGCUUUGCGCAAGCGGAGCAGCUGACUGAAUUAAGCCUCCAGUAAACGUCGGCGAUAACUCUGAUCGUCCAAAGGUAGCGUAAUCCCUUGCCGUGUAAGUUACGGCCCGCAUGAAAGGCUUCACGACUGAGAGACUGUCUCAACCAGUUGCCCGGUGAAAAUGCAAUACCCGUGAAGAUGCGGGUUACCUGCGGCUAGACGGAAAGACCCCGGGAGGUUUACUGCAGGCUCUUAUUGGAUUAUUAGUUAAGAUGCGUAGCGUAGUGGGGAGGCGUUGAAGUCUCGCUUUCGGGCGAGAUGGAGCCGACAAUGAAACACCCAUCUUCUUGACUGAUAAUUCUAACCUCUGCCCCAGGGCGGGGAGACAGUGAGAGUCAGGCAGUUUAAGUGGGGCGCUUUUCUCCUAAAAAGUAACGGAGAAGUUUAAAGGUCGGCUAAGAACGGAUGGAAAUCGUUCUUGUCCUGCAAAGGGAAAUGCCGGCUUUACUGCAAGACGGACAUGUCGCGCAGUUGCGAAAGCAGAACUUAGUGAACCGACUCUGGUUAGCAGAACCGGAGAAGAUAAUCGGCUAAAAGUUACCCCGGGGAUAACAGGCUAGUAGAGCCCGAGAGUCCAUAUCGACGGCUCUGUUCGGCACCUCGAUGUCGGCUCAUCACAUCCUGGGGGUGGAGAAGCUCCCAAGGGUUUGACUGUUCGUCAAUUAAAGUGAUACGUGAGCUGGGUUCAGUACGUCGUGAGACAGUACGGACCCUAUCUACCGCAGGCGCCGAGUCUUGAGGGAGGUUGUGCGUAGUACGAGAGGACCCGCACGAGCCAACCGCUGGUGUACCAGUUGUCCUGCCAAGGGCACCGCUGGGUAGCUAAGUUGGUUCGGGAUAAACGCUGAAAGCAUCUAAGCGUGAAGCCCAUCCCAAGAUGAGGACUCCUUGAUCGGUUGAAGACGACAACCUUGAUAGGCUCCAGGUGUAAGCGCGGUAACGCGUUGAGCCGAGGAGUACUAAUCGAUCAUG